UACGGAGGGGGCUAGCGUUGUUCGGAAUUACUGGGCGUAAAGCGCGCGUAGGCGGACCUGCAAGUCGGGGGUGAAAGCCCGAGGCUCAACCUCGGAACUGCCUUCGAUACUGCGGGUCUCGAGUCCGGGAGAGGUGAGUGGAAUUCCUAGUGUAGAGGUGAAAUUCGUAGAUAUUAGGAAGAACACCCGUGGCGAAGGCGGCCCGCUGGGCAGUGGCUGACGCUGAGGGACGAAAGCUAGGGGAGCGAAUGGG
Molecule: ribosomal RNA, 253 nt
Filed under: uncultured bacterium
Lineage: Bacteria
Description: partial 16S ribosomal RNA
Rfam family: Bacterial small subunit ribosomal RNA
Source: RNAcentral